AGUGAACGCUGGCGGUAGGCCUAACACAUGCAAGUCGAACGGCAGCACAGUAAGAGCUUGCUCUUACGGGUGGCGAGUGGCGGACGGGUGAGGAAUACAUCGGAAUCUACUUUUUCGUGGGGGAUAACGUAGGGAAACUUACGCUAAUACCGCAUACGACCUACGGGUGAAAGCAGGGGAUCUUCGGACCUUGCGCGAUUGAAUGAGCCGAUGUCGGAUUAGCUAGUUGGCGGGGUAAAGGCCCACCAAGGCGACGAUCCGUAGCUGGUCUGAGAGGAUGAUCAGUCACACUGGAACUGAGACACGGUCCAGACUCCUACGGGAGGCAGCAGUGGGGUAUAUUGGACAAUGGGCGCAAGCCUGAUCCAGCCAUACCGCGUGGGUGAAGAAGGCCUUCGGGUUGUAAAGCCCUUUUGUUGGGAAAGAAAAGCAGCAGGUUAAUACCCCGCUGUUCUGACGGUACCCAAAGAAUAAGCACCGGCUAACUUCGUG
RNAcentral lists this ribosomal RNA (492 nucleotides) under uncultured bacterium. Its description in RNAcentral is "partial 16S ribosomal RNA". It matches the Rfam family "Bacterial small subunit ribosomal RNA", at positions 29 to 507 of the family's 1533-position model. The record is from RNAcentral.